Molecule: non-coding RNA, 30 nt
Filed under: Mus musculus (house mouse)
Lineage: Eukaryota; Metazoa; Chordata; Mammalia; Rodentia; Muridae
Source: RNAcentral
UAUGAAAGAUGCUUGUCUAUAUGUGAGACU